Small nucleolar RNA from Artibeus jamaicensis (Jamaican fruit-eating bat), 153 nucleotides. RefSeq annotates it as small nucleolar RNA SNORA67. Lineage: Eukaryota; Metazoa; Chordata; Mammalia; Chiroptera; Phyllostomidae. The transcript has a single exon. The record is from RefSeq and is a predicted model, not a curated record.
ACCCAAGGUGAUUCCGUCUCCGGGGCGGGGGGGGGCUAAUAGUUGCCCCUCUUCAGGAAAGUAGCAACUUGGAAUAAAAUUUGGCAUGCCUCAGCUCUUCAGGGCAGGAGGUCAUGUGCAAUUUCCUUUGCCUUCCUUUGGCUGCCUACAUGU